Molecule: long non-coding RNA, 10942 nt
Organism: Brassica rapa (field mustard)
Lineage: Eukaryota; Viridiplantae; Streptophyta; Magnoliopsida; Brassicales; Brassicaceae
Source: RefSeq, a predicted model, not a curated record
UCGAAAGUAAAUUUAAAAAGAUUCUAAGAAGAUUUUAAAAAUAUUUGUUAAAACAUUUUAAAUAUAUUCAUUUGUAUUUCAAAUAAAAUGAUAAAGAUAUUAAAAGAUAUAAUAAUGAACUUAUGUAAAAUAUGAUAUUUUCUAGAAAUAGUCCAAACUAAAAAAAUCACACAUCAAAAGAAGUCAUGACUUCUGUUUUAAUAUAUUAGAUGAUGUAAACACCAAAUAAACCAGAGCCAAAGUUGCUAUUUUUCGUCUUUUCUUUGGUAUUUCUCAUUUCUUUCAAUCUUAUUAUUUAACAUGUCAUCUUUUGUAAUGUAAAACUAGAUUUUGACCGGCGCUUGGAAAGCACAUAUAUUUUUUGACAGUUUGAUAAAAUUUGAAUGAAUUUGUAACGUUUUAUUAGAAAUAAAUAUUUUAAAAGUUGUUCUAUUAUAAUGUUUGAGUUUUAAACAGUGUUUUCAUAUCCGAUCUAGACUUAUGGUCAAACCAAUAGAUCUAGUGACCCGUAUAUAGUCUAGUUUGAAUUUAAUGAAACAAAAUAUGGUAAAAUACGGUAAAAAUCAAAAACCCGCUACUAAUCCGCGACCGAUGCUGUUGAUACGAUAUAAAACAUAAAAAAAAAUUAAAACAUUUGAUUAAAUUACUCAAAUAAUUUUUAAUAUUACAUAAAAUUGAGUAGACUAUAAUUCAUUAUACUUCGAUGAGUUUUUCAUUAUGUCAUUCGUAGAAAAUGAAAAAAAUAGUGAUAGGAAGAAAAAAAAACAAAAUCAAUUGAUAUGACACUAUUAGUUUCUUUAUUAAUCACCUAUUAUAAGUUUAUAUUUUUAUUUAUUUUAGAUUUUUAUGAUAAUUUUAAGAUAUUUUUGAAUGCUCAAAAUUUUAAGUUAGUUAUUUUGUGAAAUAUUAAGUUGGUUAGCGGAUCUAUAAGUGAUCAAAUUUGGUAUAACUUGUGGGUAACACAUUUUUUGUACACACUAAUUUGGAAUGAUAAUAUAUAUGAUAUUAUUAAUAAAUUUAUUCUAGUAUAAUUUUUCAAUUGCAGUAUUGGUGAUAAGGUUAUUUUCUAAUUAAAGCUAUACAUAUCAUAAUUUAUCUUCACCAGUUAAUAACAUAGUGUACUUUUAUAUUAUAUUUAAUUGGUAGUAUAAAUAAUCGUGUUUUUAAUUGCAAGAUUGGUUAAAAUAUCAUAGUAUUUACAUAGACCAAAAUAUUGACUUUUUGGAAUUUUGAACAUAUCAGCAUAUUAACAUAUGAGUGUAUGGUUUUGUUUAAUAUUUUUAAAGAUAGUGUAUAUAUGAUACCUUGUUCUCGUAGAUGGAAUAUUUUUAGCAAUCUUAAUACUUUACAUAACCGUUUAGCAAAUGAAAAAGGGUCAAAUAUAAGUUCCAACACUUUGAAUGGAUUUUACGUAACCGUUUAAAAAAUGUGGCGUAAUAAAUUAAAGUAUUGACUAAAUGAUUGUUAAAUAAAUAUAAGGUAACAUCUCCUAUAUAUUAAAAGAGAAGCAUUACAACAUUUGUAGUAACCACAUGUUAUCACUACGAUAAAUUAAUUAUUAAUAUUUUCAAUUCUUUCAUUAAAUAAAAAUUACGAAAUUGUGUAAUAUGAAUAAUAAAAAAUGAUACAAAUUAUGUGUUACAAAAAAAAUAUGAUACAAAUUAGCGUAUUCUCUAACAUUUUUGUUUAACUUUAAGUUAUUAAAAUAAAUUAAACAAUCACAUUAACGAUAUAAUAAAAUUUUAGAUUUUUUUCGUAUAUGUUAUAUUUUGAACUUUUUAAAAAGUCUCGCAUUGAAAUUUUUAUGAUCCAUGAUUUUUUUAAUGAUAAAAUACAAAUUAUUACAAAAUUAUGUAAAUAGGAAGUCUCAUAUAUAUUAAUAUCUUCUAAAUUAAGCUAUAUACCAUAGAAAAUAUCCCCUAUAUAUUAAAAGAAAAGGAUUACAUUUGAGGUAUCAACUUGUCAUCACCAUACUUAUUCUUAUAUUUCUAGAGAAAUAAGUUGGUUCAUCUAAAUAUAUAAUAAGCAUUUUAUUAAACUAACCAUAAAUUAAUUAUUAAUGUUCUCAAUUAUUUCUUUAAAUAAAAAUUACGAAAUUACCUAAUGUGACUAAAUUAUACAAUUAUUGAUUUUGAAUAAUAAAAAUUUGAUACAAAUUAGUGUAUUCUCUAUCAUUUUCUUUAACUUUGAGUUAUUAAAAUAAAUUAAACAAUCACAUUAACCAUAUAAUAAAAAAUUAGAUUUUCCGUAUAUGUUAUAUUUUGAACUUUAAAAAAGUCUCACAUUGAAAUUUUUAUGAUCCAUGAUUUAAUUUUUUUAAUGACAAAAUACAAAAUCAUGUAAGUAGGAAGUCUCAUAUAUAUUAAUAUCUUCUCAAUUAAACUAUAUACCAUAGAAAAUAUCCUCUAUAUAUUAAAAGAAAAGGAUUACAACAUUUGAGAUAGCAACAUGUCAUCACCAUAAUUAUUCUUAGAAUUCUAGAAAAAUAGGUUGGUCCAUCUAAAUAUAUAAUAAGCAUUUUAUUAAACUAACAAUAAAUUAUUUAUUAAUGUUCUCAAUUAUUUCCUUAAAUUAAAAUUACGGAAUAACUUAAUGUGGCUAAAACAUAUAUGACAAUUAAUUAUUUUGAAUAAUAAAGAUUUGAUACAAAUUAAUGUAUUCUCUAUCAUUGUUUAACUUUGAGUUAUUAAAAUAAAUUAAACAAUCACAUUAACCAUAUAAUAAAAUUUUAGAUUUUUCCGUAUAUGUUAUAUUUUGAACUUUUUAAAAAGUCUCACAUUAAAAAAUUUAUGAUCCAUGAUUUUUGUUUAUGACAAAAUACAAAUUAUUACAAAAUCAUGUAAGUAGGAAAUCUCAUAUAUAUUAAUAUCUUUUAAAUUAAACUAUAUACCAUAGAAAAUACAUAAAUAUUUUUAUUUUAGAAUUUUUUUGAACAAUUUUUUGAUAAAAUCUUUGAACAAAUACUGACAACUUAAUAUUUAAAUUUUAAAAUUUGCACUGAAUGUUUAUAAAAGUUAUAAAUUACUAGAACUUUAAAAACAAUGUACAAUGAAAAUUUUGGUAUCAGCGAUUUAGUCAUUCUGUUAAAAAGAUACAAAUGAGUAGAACGCAUCAUUUAACAUAUAUCAAUACUAAAAAUAUAUUAUGUAUCUAUGUAUAUAUAUUUAAAUUUAAUUAUAUCAAUAGAAAAUAGAAAAAGUGAUUGUUUGGAUUAAUAAAAUUUAUUUACGUAUUCACAUCAGUAUAAUUAUAUACGUAAUAGUUAUUGACUUUUUCAUUAUCAAAUAUAUAUAUAUAUAUAUAUAUUAUUUUAUAAUAUCUAUAUAUUAUUUUAUAAUAUAUAAAAUCAUAUAAUAUGUAAAAUAAUUUAUAUAUACAAUGUUCAUCAUGCGCAAGGCGUGGGUCUUAAUCUAGUCAAAGUAUUUUAGUUAAUGAAAUAGUCCAACAAUUUUGUUUAAGUAGAUUUUUGAAAAUGGUUCUCUUUUAAUAGUAUAGACUAGAUUUUGACCCGCGCUUUCAAAGCGCGGGAUUAUUUUCGUAAAUUAUUUUUUGCUUUUCCAUUUAUUUACCCGCUUGUUUGUUUUGAGUUAUAUAUUUAUACUUGGUGUAUUAAUUUUAGGUUCGCUUCUAUUUUUAUCUUUUGAGUUUUCAGUUUGAUUUCGGUUUAUAGUUGUUCGGUUCGAGUGAUAAUUUUUUUUUGAUUAUUUAUGAAUUUGGGCUUGAAUUCGGUUUGGUUAGUUUUGGAUAUUUGUAUACCGAUUCAGUUCUCUAUUUUUUUUUGGCGACAUCCAUCUUCUAAGAUCAAGUGGUAGGCGGGUCUGAGUCGUUUCAAAGAGAUGCUCUGUCCGGCUGGAUCGGAUCUAUAUGGGGAAAAAAAGAGUACCCCUAAGUUCUCUAUUUAUAUGUCGAGGUUUAAAUUUGUUUCUAAAAUAUGUCUUGCAUUUGAUAAAUAACUGAUUUUUAAUAAUUGUUAAGGAUAAAUGUAUAAAUGAAAUAUUAAUUUGUCUAUAAUAAAAUCUAACUAAGUUAAAAUUUUGCUACUUGUAUUUUUCUGUUGGAAGAAAAUGAAAUGCAAUUUAAAAUAAUUGUUGAUAAUUAUACAAAACUUACACUUUAUUACGUAUAAUUUUAAUAAACAAAAGAUGAUUGUAUUUAUUUUAAAACAAUACUUUUGCAAUUUGAAAAUGCUCUUAAUUAAAUUUAUUAUAAGGGAAAAACAUUCUAGAUAUAUUGACCAUUCUGAUAAUUAUUUUAAAAUUGUUUAAAAACUCCUUGGGCCUGAUUAAUACAAAACAAAGAAGUUCCAUUUUUAUGUUUAAAAAUUAAUCGAAUACAACUGGGUUUUACAAACUGAAACUCAAAAUGAGGAUAAUAAAAUGUUAGUGUAAGUUGGGUUUAUAACUUAUGUUGAUAUUUUUCAAUAUCACUCAGGCCCAUGGUUCAUCACUACCAACCGACAGAACAACAACCUGUCUUUUUGCCUUUCCAGAAAAAGCUUCCUCAGAAAAAUGAGUUCGUCCCUCUCUCAAAAUGCUUUGAUAACAUGAUGAAACAUGAUCCAUCAACACAGAUGGUUGAAGAUAAGGUUUGCAUGUCGAAUCCAAUGAAUGAUCUGAUUAGUCGGUUAAUUCUGUUUGUCUCGUAUAUGUCUGAAGAAGAUCUGAAAAAGUAUCCCUCAAGAAAAAACGAAGAACCGGAGUUAAAGGAUCAAGAAACAUCAAUCACUUCAGGUCAAUAGACUUUCAAAUAUUUCUCUUAUUCGUUAUAUAGUUGGUUAAUCGAGUGUAGUUAAACACUAAAAAAUAAAUAUCUAAAGUUUUUUUAACUAUUUUUGGAAUUUGUUUCAUGCACUUUUCUCACAUCUUUCCAAACAAAUUGUUAUAAUAUAUUUCCGUUCAUAUUGAAAUGGUGGUAUAUGAUCUUUGUUUGAUCUUACUCAUUUUGGUUUGAAAAUUUAAUAUAUUUACUCAUGUGCAGGCUGUGCAGUGACAUUUGUAUAGGCAAAGCUUUAUUCAUGUGACUCUAACCAAUAUCACAAAACAACAAACCUGAGAAAAGAUAAGUUUUCAUACAAUGGCAUAAAAAUUUCAACGCUUACAAUAACUAUAAUAGUGUUUCAAAAAAAAACAAUAACUAUAAUAUAUUUAAUAUUUGUAAAAUCCAAAUUUAACUAAUGUUUUUUUGUAAUUUUACAGUCAAAGUCUACACGUUGUAUGAUUGAUGAUGAAAGUUAUGAGGCUAAGUCCAACCAAGUCCAACCAAAUCCAUACCUAUACACAGAAAAAAAAAAUCAAGAUGUAACUGAAACAAUAUAAUUGAGUAGACUAUGCAUUUUUCAGUUUACCUUCUUGUCAACGAAAACGUUUCACCAAAUUUCUAGUUUAUUUGCUCCCAGGUGUGGAUUACUUUCAAUUGGAUGUACCAAUCAGUUCUGUUAGGUUUCAGUUUUGAAAGGAACGGAAUUUUCUUUGUUCUUUGCGUUUCUUUGCGGUUUCGAAAAGAAAAAAGAAAAUUUGUGUGUGGCGAUGAUUGUUUGACAACGGUAGUUAUAUAUAGCCUACAAUAGAUAGGUUUUGAAAGAAUAUUCUGAUUAUUUUUAGGGAUGCUAUUUCAGUUGAAUGAUAAUAAGGUAUAUUAUGUUAAUAAGCUAAGUAAAUAUCGUUAUUUGACAGUAAAUUUGUUAGGAUGGCGGAUAUUUCGGUAGGAGGUUUAAGGGAUUGUUAAUAAUUGGUAUUUGAUGAAUAAAGAAUAUUACUUGGCAUAUACUUCGUUAUUGAUUAUCAAAAUAUUUUUGAAACAGAAUAUAUUUUAUUAGAGUUUAACUAUAUUUCAGAUUGGUGGUUUUAUAUUUUAAGUUUGAAAUUGGAAUAUUUUGCGUGUGAGUUUUUUUUUUGCAAGUAAGAAUCGCGUAUAAUUAGAUAACGUUUUUUUUUUUGCAAGUAAGAAAACAUGAAGCAACUUCCGAAAAUUUAGUUUAUUUGCUUAAAUUUUAGCUUUUUUAUUUAAUGGUAUAGAUAUUUAUGGUUAUUGAUUUGAAAAAAGAUUGGUAUUUAUGAUCUAGUAUAGUGGAUAUGGUUAUGUAUGGAACUUUCGAAAAUCUAGUUUAUUUGCUAAAUUUUUAGCUUUUGAUUUAGUGGUUUGUAUUUUUGGUUAUUGAUUUGAAAAAGCUUUAUAAAUCCAAUAGUAUGGUCGACUAUAUUGCAGAGUGGUUUACGGUUUAGGAUUCUAAUUAUGUGUAUUUAUUAUAUAAAAUUUUAUUGUUUUGAUUAGUUUAUUUGCUUAAAUUUACGUUUUUAUUUAAUGGUAUAGAUAUUAUGGUGAUUGAUUUGAAAAAAGAUUGGUAUCAUGACAUUGCUUAUUUUAAUAAAUUAAAAUAUAAAAAAGUAUUUGGGGUUUAUGGGUUUGUUUGUAUCUCAUACUAUACAUAUAAAAAUGCUAGCUUAAAAAUAUAUAAUACGACCAUUUUUUAUAGAUUUUGAAUAAUGCAACAUUUAUGUUUUUUGUGCAAUUGUUUGUAACCAAAACAUUGAUUGGACGUGAUAAAUGGUCGAUGAUACACUGAUAUUAACAGAAUGUAUUGUUUUUAUUUGGCAGCUUGCAGAAUUCACUUCGGUGUCGAUAGAUUUGGUACAUAGACUGUUUAAGAAAUAAAAAUAAGUGUGUUGUAGCCAGUGUUUUGAAACCCGACCCGGACCCGCGGUUGAACCGGUAAAUCCGGUAACCCAAAAAAAUCCGGUUUGGAUUUUGUGAAAAACCUAAUAUUUAGAAACCCGCAAAAAACCGCAAAAACCCGGUAAAACACGGAAUCCGGUACCGGUUGAACCAUCGGUCGAACCAAUAAAUAACUUUUAUUUCCUUUUUAUAGUUUUUAAUUUUGUUUUAUAUUCUAAGUUUUCAAUUAAGAUGUUAGGUAUUGACAAAAAAAAAGUUAUGUUUUCUUUUUUCAAUUUUAUAUUUGUGAUUUUUAGAUUUUGAUGAAGAUUUCACUAUGUCACCUGAAGAAAAUAAAGUGAACGAUGGUAGAGAGAACCAAAAGUAGUUGAUGUUAUUUGGUGUUAGUUUAUUUCUAUUAUUGAUAAUUUAUUACAAUGAUUUUUUUACUUUUGGUUUAUUUUGUAUUUGUAGUUUAAUUUAUUAUUCACAUUAUACAUUUAAAUAUUUAAAUAUUUAUAAAUUUUAUGUUUUGAUUUAUUUUAGAUGUCAUAGCUCUUAUCUUAUUCGAGAAAAUUUUAAAUAGUCUAAACUAUUUUUUUGAUAUUUUGUAUGUCAAAUGAAAAUAAAAAUAUAAAAACUAAAGUUAAGUAUUUUCUAAAUUUUAAACAUAAAAUAUAUACAUAUCCAAACUAUUAUUUUAUGUUUUAAAAAAUUUAGAAAAUAAUAAACUUUAGUUUUUAUAAUUUUAUUUACAUACCUGAGAUAUUAUUAUAUAAUAAAAUUAGUUAAUUUAUUAACCCGCGGUUCACCCGCGAUCGACCCAGUGACCCAGCAAACCGGUAAGCAGUCCGGUUCAGUGUCCGUGUCGGGUUUAAAAACAUUGGUUGUAGCAAUUGAAGUUUGUUUUAAACGUAGUUGUUGAUCGUAAUGAAUACACUAUGUUUUGAUAGGAUGAUACAUUAUGUUUUGAUAUGAAGACAUAAUUAAUUAAACGUAGGUGUUGUUUUUUAAAUAAAAGGAUUUUUGCUGUUAAAAUAAAAAGGAAUUCAAAAAAUACAGAAUUUAAUUAAAAUCAUAGCUUAAAAAUAUUCCAGUGGCAGUAUCUUGUAAAUAUUGUUGAAACAGGAGGGCACCUCAAAAAAGGGCCUUCUGUUUUAAUAGUAUUGAUUUGGAAUUUUGAACAUAUCAGCUUACUAAUAUAUGAGUGUAUGGGUUUGUUUAAUAUUUUUAAAGAUAGUGUAUGAUACCUUGUUCUCGUAGAUAGAAUAUUUGUUAGCAAUCUUAAUAUUUUACGUGACCGUUUAGCAAAUGAAAAAGGAUGAAAUAUAAGUUCCGGCACUUUGAAGGGAUUUUAGUAACCGUUUAAAAAAGUGCCCUAAUAAAUAUAACUAUUGACUAAUGAUUGUUAGAGAAGUAUAAAGUAACUUAUUGUUAGUCGAAAUUUAAAAUAAAAUCAAAAUAUUAUUAGUUAAUGAAAUGGUGCAACAACUUUGUUUAAGUAGAUUUUUCAGAAUGAUUAUCUCUUAAUAGUAUAGACACGAUAAAUAUUUGUAAGUUUAAACAUAAAAAUAUAUGAUAAGUAUUCACGUCUAUAUUGUUAUGAAUAAAAUAACAUAAUAGUUUGCUGAUUAAAUUUAUUGUAUUUACAUGAAACAUGAAAGUUCAAUAUAUAUAUACAUGAACUUACAAAUAUUUGACAUAUUGAUAUGAGACUUGCAAAAAAAGAAAUCCACGUUUUGAAAACGUGGAUAAAAAUCUAGCAUAUACUUAUAUUUAAAGUUUUGUAAACUACGACAGCUUUUCAAAAGCGAUAAGAAAUUUAUAUACAAAUAUAGUAUUAUUAUUAUUUUUUAAUAUUAAGAUAAAUAUAUAUUUGAUAUAUGAUACAAUUUCUUGGUUUCAUGUCUACCUACGUAAAUCGUUGCAAUAGCCAGAUAGAAAAAUUCUAUCAUAUCAGCAUCAAAGAAUGUGAAUUUCAGAAUUGGUGAAAGUAAUAAAUUUUUUGGAUGUAUGUGUUUAUUUACUCUAUUCUGACAUUUUGAUGCAUCCCAAUUUAUUGUCGAAAGAUUGACAUUGAGUCGGUGUUCAUGAACAAAUUAACGGUUUGAUAUUUUUUUGGAUAAUAUAGGGAUAUCCUGGUUCCACCUUAACAUGAGUCUAUACUAGUUACAUGUUUGCAACCUACGUUAUCAGCCCACGUGUCGGUCGCCUAUAUCUCUGGCGAUGCCGAAAUGUUAAUUUUCUAGUGGCCAACGGGAAUUGAAGCCGAAACCGUAUCGAAUCCGAAGGUCCCUCAAGAACAAAUUAACGGUUUGAUAUUUCACUGCUUGGUAUUUCGGUAAACUGGUCUAACAUUUCCGGGUCUACACUAAGUAGGUUAAGCAUUUCAAACAUGCAUCAAGAACUUGCUUUUAUGUCUAUGGGAUAUAGAACUGGUAUGUAGAAGAUCCAUCCCUAAUGAGACACACCAAACAAUAUAAUAGAUCAUUGUACUGUAUAAAAUUAUAUACUUUUGAUCUUCUGAUUCAAGGUAAAAGCAAAACGCUAUGGAACUUGUUUAGGUGUUCGUUCAAUAGAUGUAAUAAUAAUCAAGAUAAGAAAACAUAUGAUGAAACUUCUACAACUCUAGAUGUUGGUUAGAUAAAGAGACGAUGUCGACCAGAUUAGAAGACGAGAAUAUACAAAAUGAAAUUAUACCCAAGAACAUUGGUGAUAAAGUAAUACAAACCUAUGAAGAUACAAAAAUGGGAUAUGAGAAGAAGAAGAAGAGGCUACAUAUAAAUGGAGAACCGUAUGGAGGGAGAAGAAUGAGGAAAUAAAGAAAAUGGAAAAUGUCAUUUUUAGUUUCUUAUCAAAAUAAAUGCAGAAUAUAUGCCAACUAACCCCUUACGACCACCACUAGGUCUUGGCGUAAACAGAGAUGACCACCUGAGAGUCCAUCACCUCAUCAACAUGGAAACGAUCACAUGGAACUCAAAUUUGCUGGGAGAAUCCGUGGCAGUGGAAGACAUACCCCAUAUUGAAUAAAUUCGUUUGAGCAGAACUGGAAGACGAGAUUGUUACAGCUGGGAUUAUACAAAAUCUGGACUAUAUACGGUGAAGUCAGGCUACUCCGUAGCUCAUAACCUGCGUGCGGCAGCUAACCAGCCGACGAUCUCUGAACCUAGCACUACUGAGUUAAAGAAGGCAUCAUGGAAAAUCAAAGCCCCAAGGAAACUAAAGCACUUUAUUUGGCAAGCUAUAUCCGGAUUUGUGGCAACGGCGCAGAGUUUACGGGAUCGACAUUGUGCGAGAGAUAGUAUAUGUGUCCGCUACGGUGCGAAAUCUGAAACUAUAAACCACACGCUGUUCGAGUGCCCGUCUGCUCUGCAAUGCUGGGCGUUAUCACAAAUCCCAGCACCUCCGGGGUUAUUCCCGCGGUCAUCUCUAUUUGAAAACAUAUAUUAUCUACUAUGGAAGGCUAAGGAGAAAGGGGCAAGCGCCGAGAUGAUGUAUGCAUUCCCGUGGAUAUUUUGGUACAUAUGAAAAGCACGCAACGAAAAGGUGUUUAACAACAGAGACAUAACGCCAAUGGAUACACUCCAACUCGCCAAGAGCGAGGCUGAAAGUUGGAAACUCGCUCAGUUAGUCCCUGUGCUGGAGGAAGCUAGUAUGGAUAAUGAGCAGAGUGAAAUGGAGAUGCCAAGUCGAUGAUUUGUGGGUAAGUGCUCAAGAAGAUAUAGGCUUAGGUUUUGUGAUGAUGGACGAAAACGUAACGAUCCUAUACGGGGCUAAGAAUGGGAGUAUAACUGAAUCUCCUCUACACGCGGAGGCGGAAAGAUUAAUUUGGGCAAUGCAGGAAGCACUGAAGAAAGAACCUAAGAUAAUGCACUUUGAAACUGACUGUCAACAGCUCGUCAAGCUUGUCAAGAAUGUUGAAGAGGAAUGGCCGGCUAUGGCAACUGAACUGGAUGAAAUUAACGCUCUUGCAAGCAAUUUCAGCGCAUUCUCUAUAUCCUACAUAUCAAGGUCUAUAAACAUCCGCGCGGAUGGCCUAGCGAAGGGAGUCCGAUCACGCGAGCUCCGGAUACCGUAUGUGAACUAGUUUGUGCUCCAACAUGGUUAGCCCAUGUUGCUAGCCAAAUGGAUGCAAACUAAGUUUUAGUUUUCUGUUUCGAUGUCAAAAAAAAAGGUUCCAUUUUACUUUUAAAGAAAUAUUUGAAAUUUUAACUUUCUAAAGUGUAUCAUCUUUAUAGUGAAAAGUUAUGUAGCCGCAAAAGUGUAUCAUCUUAAAACCAGUACAACAAAU